CAGCUGAACGUGAGCCAGGGUGUGUGCCAGGUGGCCAAGAAGACCAAGGACACCCUGGCCUGCAUCAGCAACAGUGUGGCCAGCAGGACCAGGGCUGGGAUUGUUCUUCUGUACUGGGCUCUGCUGAAGGCCACAACUCAUGUUCUCUAUCCAGAGCACUUCUUGGAAACAAAGGAAGUGAAACCUUCAACUGACUCCUGUCUGUGUAAAGAGUUCUCCAUGCCUGACACUGUCUGGUGGGUACAGCUGAUGCUGCCCUUCAUGGCCUCCACACUGCAGUGCAGAGCCCAGUCUGAGGUACAAAACUACUUUUGUGAUGGUUGCUGUUCCUCCCAUGCAACUGAACAGAGAAAGGAUGGUCUAAAAUGAGAUCUCUACAUCAAAAGAACAAAACUCCAAAAGGACUUUUUUAAGAACGGCAACAAAUCACCAAAGGAAGAUAAAAACUCUUUUAACUCUGCAAACUUGAUGUCUUUCUGGCACUUUUUACUCGGAUGUCAUUUCACAAGAUAUUUGGAAGAAAACAUGUUUUCAAGUGGCAAAAUAAACU
Passer domesticus (house sparrow) is the source of this 550-nucleotide long non-coding RNA. RefSeq lists it as uncharacterized. The record is from RefSeq and is a predicted model, not a curated record. NCBI's taxonomy places the organism in Eukaryota, Metazoa, Chordata, Aves, Passeriformes, Passeridae. The transcript is spliced from 3 exons.